RNAcentral lists this unclassified non-coding RNA (964 nucleotides) under Hevea brasiliensis (rubber tree). The record is from RNAcentral. Lineage: Eukaryota; Viridiplantae; Streptophyta; Magnoliopsida; Malpighiales; Euphorbiaceae.
AAGUACAACUGAUCUAUUGCCUUCUACCAGAAAAACAAUAGCCUGAGAAGAUAUAAAAUCUGGAUGUAAAUUCUUUUCUUUUCUAAUACGUUGACUUCUUCUAAUGUCAUUAGAAGAAUCUAACUUUCUUUUAUUGUUCAAAGUCGAUUCAAAAUUAAUAUCAAUACUAGAACCAUUGCUUUACUUGAACUAUUCAUGGGCUCAUGUAUAGAGUCAUUAUGAAAUUUAUUUUCAAUAAAUUCAACAUCUCUAGAUUCUACAAUUACAUUAGAGUCUAAAUUUAAAAUUCUAUAAGCUUUGGAAUUUUCGGCAUAACCAAUAAAAACUCCUUUCAAAGCUCUAGGACCUAAUUUAGUCCUUUUAGAAUCUGGAACUCUAUAAUAUGCUAAACAGCACCAUACUUUUAGAUAGUUCAAGUUAGAUUUUUUAUUUUUCCAUAAUUCAUAUGCAGAAACCUUAAAUUUUCUAGAAUAAAUUCUAUUAUGUAAGUAACAAGCAGUAAGAAAGUUUCUUCCCACAAGUUUGUUAGCAAAUUAGAAUUCACAAGCAUAGAAUUAAGCGUAUCCAUUAAGGUUCUAUUCUUUCUUUCUGGCAGCCCAUUUUGUUGUGGUAUAUAGGGUACACUAAUUUGAUGUAUAAUUCCAUUUUCUUCACAAAAUAAAGAAAUUCAAUGGAAAAAUAUUCACCACCUCUGUCACUUCUCAAAAUUUUGAUCUUUUUUCCUUUUUGAUUCUCAACUUCAAAUUUAUAAAUCUGAAACAUUUGGAAUGCUUUAUCUUUAUUUUUCAUUAAAUAAACAUAAGUAUAUUUGGAGAAAUCAUCUAUGAAAGUUAUAAAAUAUCUAUUUCCUCCUUUAGUCAAUAUUCCAUUUAAUUCACAAAUAUCAGAAUGCACAAGUUCUAAUAACUUAGAAGAUCUUUCAACUUUUGGAAAAGAUUUCUUAAUCAUUUUUGCUUGUAUACAG